GGGUUGUGAGGUUAAGCGACUAAGCGUACACGGUGGAUGCCCUGGCAGUCAGAGGCGAUGAAGGACGUGCUAAUCUGCGAAAAGCGUCGGUAAGGUGAUAUGAACCGUUAUAACCGGCGAUGUCCGAAUGGGGAAACCCAGUGCAAUUCGUUGCACUAUCGUUAACUGAAUACAUAGGUUAACGAGGCGAACCGGGGGAACUGAAACAUCUAAGUACCCCGAGGAAAAGAAAUCAACCGAGAUUCCCCCAGUAGCGGCGAGCGAACGGGGAACAGCCCAGAGUCUGAAUCAGCUUGUGUGUUAGUGGAACGGUCUGGAAAGUCCGACGGUACAGGGUGAUAGUCCCGUACACCAAAAUGCACAGGCUGUGAACUCGAAGAGUAGGGCGGGACACGUGGUAUCCUGUCUGAAUAUGGGGGGACCAUCCUCCAAGGCUAAAUACUCCUGACUGACCGAUAGUGAACCAGUACCGUGAGGGAAAGGCGAAAAGAACCCCGGCGAGGGGAGUGAAAAAGAACCUGAAACCGUGUACGUACAAGCAGUGGGAGCACCUUCGGGUGUGACUGCGUACCUUUUGUAUAAUGGGUCAGCGACUUAUAUUCUGUAGCAAGGUUAACCGUAUAGGGGAGCCGCAGGGAAACCGAGUCUUAACUGGGCGUUAAGUUGCAGGGUAUAGACCCGAAACCCGGUGAUCUAGCCAUGGGCAGGUUGAAGGUUGGGUAACACUAACUGGAGGACCGAACCGACUAAUGUUGAAAAAUUAGCGGAUGACUUGUGGCUGGGGGUGAAAGGCCAAUCAAACCGGGAGAUAGCUGGUUCUCCCCGAAAGCUAUUUAGGUAGCGCCUCGUGAAUUCAUCUUCGGGGGUAGAGCACUGUUUCGGCUAGGGGGUCAUCCCGACUUACCAACCCGAUGCAAACUACGAAUACCGAAGAAUGUUAUCACGGGAGACACACGGCGGGUGCUAACGUCCGUCGUGAAGAGGGAAACAACCCAGACCGCCAGCUAAGGUCCCAAAGUCAUGGUUAAGUGGGAAACGAUGUGGGAAGGCACAGACAGCCAGGAUGUUGGCUUAGAAGCAGCCAUCAUUUAAAGAAAGCGUAAUAGCUCACUGGUCGAGUCGGCCUGCGCGGAAGAUGUAACGGGGCUAAACCAUGCACCGAAGCUGCGGCAGCGACACUAUGUGUUGUUGGGUAGGGGAGCGUUCUGUAAGCCUGCGAAGGUGUGCUGUGAGGCAUGCUGGAGGUAUCAGAAGUGCGAAUGCUGACAUAAGUAACGAUAAAGCGGGUGAAAAGCCCGCUCGCCGGAAGACCAAGGGUUCCUGUCCAACGUUAAUCGGGGCAGGGUGAGUCGACCCCUAAGGCGAGGCCGAAAGGCGUAGUCGAUGGGAAACAGGUUAAUAUUCCUGUACUUGGUGUUACUGCGAAGGGGGGACGGAGAAGGCUAUGUUAGCCGGGCGACGGUUGUCCCGGUUUAAGCAUGUAGGCUGGUUGUCCAGGCAAAUCCGGAUAAUCAAGGCUGAGGUGUGAUGACGAGGCACUACGGUGCUGAAGUAACAAAUGCCCUGCUUCCAGGAAAAGCCUCUAAGCAUCAGGUAACAUCAAAUCGUACCCCAAACCGACACAGGUGGUCAGGUAGAGAAUACCAAGGCGCUUGAGAGAACUCGGGUGAAGGAACUAGGCAAAAUGGUGCCGUAACUUCGGGAGAAGGCACGCUGGUGUGUAGGUGAAGCCCCUGCGGGUGGAGCUGAGACCAGUCGAAGAUACCAGCUGGCUGCAACUGUUUAUUAAAAACACAGCACUGUGCAAACACGAAAGUGGACGUAUACGGUGUGACGCCUGCCCGGUGCCGGAAGGUUAAUUGAUGGGGUUAUCCGUAAGGAGAAGCUCUUGAUCGAAGCCCCGGUAAACGGCGGCCGUAACUAUAACGGUCCUAAGGUAGCGAAAUUCCUUGUCGGGUAAGUUCCGACCUGCACGAAUGGCGUAAUGAUGGCCAGGCUGUCUCCACCCGAGACUCAGUGAAAUUGAACUCGCUGUGAAGAUGCAGUGUACCCGCGGCAAGACGGAAAGACCCCGUGAACCUUUACUAUAGCUUGACACUGAACAUUGAGCCUUGAUGUGUAGGAUAGGUGGGAGGCUUUGAAGCGUGGACGCCAGUCUGCGUGGAGCCAACCUUGAAAUACCACCCUUUAAUGUUUGAUGUUCUAACGUUGGCCCCUGACCGGGGUUGCGGACAGUGUCUGGUGGGUAGUUUGACUGGGGCGGUCUCCUCCCAAAGCGUAACGGAGGAGCACGAAGGUUAGCUAAUCCUGGUCGGACAUCAGGAGGUUAGUGCAAUGGCAUAAGCUAGCUUGACUGCGAGCGUGACGGCGCGAGCAGGUGCGAAAGCAGGUCAUAGUGAUCCGGUGGUUCUGAAUGGAAGGGCCAUCGCUCAACGGAUAAAAGGUACUCCGGGGAUAACAGGCUGAUACCGCCCAAGAGUUCAUAUCGACGGCGGUGUUUGGCACCUCGAUGUCGGCUCAUCACAUCCUGGGGCUGAAGUAGGUCCCAAGGGUAUGGCUGUUCGCCAUUUAAAGUGGUACGCGAGCUGGGUUUAGAACGUCGUGAGACAGUUCGGUCCCUAUCUGCCGUGGGCGCUGGAGAAUUGAGGGGGGCUGCUCCUAGUACGAGAGGACCGGAGUGGACGCAUCACUGGUGUUCGGGUUGUCAUGCCAAUGGCACUGCCCGGUAGCUAAAUGCGGAAGAGAUAAGUGCUGAAAGCAUCUAAGCACGAAACUUGCCCCGAGAUGAGUUCUCCCUGAGACUUUAAGUCUCCUGAAGGAACGUUGAAGACGACGACGUUGAUAGGCCGGGUGUGUAAGCGCAGCGAUGCGUUGAGCUAACCGGUACUAAUGAACCGUGAGGCUUAACCUUACAACGCCGAAG
Molecule: ribosomal RNA, 2923 nt
Filed under: Klebsiella pneumoniae
Lineage: Bacteria; Pseudomonadati; Pseudomonadota; Gammaproteobacteria; Enterobacterales; Enterobacteriaceae
Description: bacterial LSU rRNA
Rfam family: Bacterial large subunit ribosomal RNA
Source: RNAcentral